This 1431-nucleotide ribosomal RNA is filed under the name Synechococcus sp. MA0607D. RNAcentral's name for it is "16S ribosomal RNA". It matches the Rfam family "Bacterial small subunit ribosomal RNA". Lineage: Bacteria; Bacillati; Cyanobacteriota; Cyanophyceae; Synechococcales; Synechococcaceae. The record is from RNAcentral.
UGCAAGUCGAACGAGCCUUCGGGCUAGUGGCGGACGGGUGAGUAACGCGUGGCGCAAUCUGCCCUCAGGAGGGGGAUAACGGCCGGAAACGGCCGCUAAUACCCCAUAUGCCGAGAGGUGAAAUGAAUUUCGCCUGAGGAUGAGCCCGCGUCUGAUUAGCUAGUUGGUGGGGUAAUGGCCCACCAAGGCGACGAUCAGUAGCUGGUCUGAGAGGAUGAUCAGCCACACUGGGACUGAGACACGGCCCAGACUCCUACGGGAGGCAGCAGUGGGGAAUUUUCCGCAAUGGGCGAAAGCCUGACGGAGCAACGCCGCGUGAGGGAUGAAGGCCUCUGGGCUGUAAACCUCUUUUCUCAAGGAAGAAGACAUGACGGUACUUGAGGAAUAAGCCACGGCUAAUUCCGUGCCAGCAGCCGCGGUAAUACGGGAGUGGCAAGCGUUAUCCGGAAUUAUUGGGCGUAAAGCGUCCGCAGGCGGCCUUGUAAGUCUGUCGUUAAAGCGUGGAGCUUAACUCCAUUUCAGCGAUGGAAACUACAAGGCUUGAGUGUGGUAGGGGCAGAGGGAAUUCCCGGUGUAGCGGUGAAAUGCGUAGAUAUCGGGAAGAACACCAGUGGCGAAGGCGCUCUGCUGGGCCAUAACUGACGCUCAUGGACGAAAGCCAGGGGAGCGAAAGGGAUUAGAUACCCCUGUAGUCCUGGCCGUAAACGAUGAACACUAGGUGUCGGGGGAAUCGACCCCCUCGGUGUCGUAGCUAACGCGUUUAAGUGUUCCGCCUGGGGAGUACGCACGCAAGUGUGAAACUCAAAGGAAAAGACGGGGGCCCGSACAAGCGGUGGAGUAKGUGGUUUMAUUCUAUGCAACGCGAAGAACCUUACCAGGGUUUGACAUCCUGCGAAUCCCUUGGAAACGAGGGAGUGCCUUCGGGAGCGCAGAGACRGGUGGUGCAUGGCUGUCGUCAGCUCGUGUCGUGAGAUGUUGGGUUAAGUCCCGCAACGAGCGCAACCCACGUCUUUAGUUGCCAGCAUUCAGUUGGGCACUCUAGAGAGACCGCCGGUGAUAAACCGGAKGAAGGUGUGGAUGACGUCMAGUCAUCAUGCCCCUUACAUCCUGGGCUACACACGUACUACAAUGCUACGGACAAAGGGUUGCAAGCUCGCGAGAGUUAGCUAAUCCCAUAAACCGUGGCUCAGUUCAGAUCGUAGGCUGCAACUCGCCUACGUGAAGGAGGAAUCGCUAGUAAUCGCAGGUCASCAUACUGCGGUGAAUACGUUCCCGGGCCUUGUACACACCGCCCGUCACACCAUGGAAGUUGGCCAUGCCCRAAGUCGUUACUCCAACCCUUGUGGAGGAGGACGCCGAAGGUGGGGCUGAUGACUGGSGUGAAGUCGUAACAAGGUAGCCGUACCGGAAGGUGCGGCUGGAUCACCUCCU